Molecule: non-coding RNA, 681 nt
Filed under: Pongo abelii (Sumatran orangutan)
Lineage: Eukaryota; Metazoa; Chordata; Mammalia; Primates; Hominidae
Source: RNAcentral
AUCAGCCCUGGGGUUCAGAGGGAUCCUGACGGCUACUCCUCAAGAUCCUCUCUGUUGUGAUUCAUCCCCCCCAGGCCCUACAGUUUCUCCUUCCUGACUCUUACAUUUCUUUGGAUGGCAUCACUAUUCUUCCUUUGCAGCUAGGUGUGGCCAUGUGAUAAAGUUGUAGCUAAUGAUACAUUGUGUGAAACUGCCAGAGAGCCUUCCCGCCCCGCCCGCGCCCCCCCUGAGACGGAGUCUUUCUCUGCCACCCAGGCUGGAGUGCAGUGGUGUGAUCUCAGCUCACUGCAACCCCUGCCUCCUGGAUUCAAGCAAUUCUCCUGCCUCAGCCUCCCAAGUAGCUGGGAUUGCAGUACCUGUCUCCUCCCAUAGUUAGUUGCCAAGCACUGUGGAUUCUACCCCUCAGGGUCCAGACACCCAUUUUCCUUCCCACUGUUCCCUCCCCAUGGAGAAGCCUGUGGCUGACUGACAGCUCAACUUGGAGAAGGUGUUACCUGGGCCAGGUGGGGAAGGUAGGGUUGUUUGCAGAGCAAAGAAGUGAAGCCUAUUCAAUGUGAAAAAGAUGAGGGCGAAGACCUUUAUGAUGAUCCAAGUAAUGAACACACUGGAGAAAGUCAAACAGUCAAAACAAUGUCCCAGACUCCGUGAAGUUCCUGGGUAGAGAAGUAGACAGACGUACAC